AUGCCCAAUGGUAAAAGUAUAUUAAUUUCACCAUAAUUACCAUAAAUAAUAAUCAAAAAGGAAUUAUGAUAUAAU
RNAcentral lists this small RNA (75 nucleotides) under Parvimonas sp. oral taxon 393 str. F0440. RNAcentral's name for it is "dfrA-dnaX RNA". It matches the Rfam family "dfrA-dnaX RNA". Lineage: Bacteria; Bacillati; Bacillota; Tissierellia; Tissierellales; Peptoniphilaceae. The record is from Rfam by way of RNAcentral.